GAUCAUGGCUCAGAUUGAACGCUGGCGGCAGGCCUAACACAUGCAAGUCGAACGGUAACAGGAAGCAGCUUGCUGCUUUGCUGACGAGUGGCGGACGGGUGAGUAAUGUCUGGGAAACUGCCCGAUGGAGGGGGAUAACUACUGGAAACGGUAGCUAAUACCGCAUAACGUCGCAAGACCAAAGAGGGGGACCUUAGGGCCUCUUGCCAUCGGAUGUGCCCAGAUGGGAUUAGCUAGUAGGUGGGGUAACGGCUCACCUAGGCGACGAUCCCUAGCUGGUCUGAGAGGAUGACCAGCCACACUGGAACUGAGACACGGUCCAGACUCCUACGGGAGGCAGCAGUGGGGAAUAUUGCACAAUGGGCGCAAGCCUGAUGCAGCCAUGCCGCGUGUAUGAAGAAGGCCUUCGGGUUGUAAAGUACUUUCAGCGGGGAGGAAGGGAGUAAAGUUAAUACCUUUGCUCAUUGACGUUACCCGCAGAAGAAGCACCGGCUAACUCCGUGCCAGCAGCCGCGGUAAUACGGAGGGUGCAAGCGUUAAUCGGAAUUACUGGGCGUAAAGCGCACGCAGGCGGUUUGUUAAGUCAGAUGUGAAAUCCCCGGGCUCAACCUGGGAACUGCAUCUGAUACUGGCAAGCUUGAGUCUCGUAGAGGGGGGUAGAAUUCCAGGUGUAGCGGUGAAAUGCGUAGAGAUCUGGAGGAAUACCGGUGGCGAAGGCGGCCCCCUGGACGAAGACUGACGCUCAGGUGCGAAAGCGUGGGGAGCAAACAGGAUUAGAUACCCUGGUAGUCCACGCCGUAAACGAUGUCGACUUGGAGGUUGUGCCCUUGAGGCGUGGCUUCCGGAGCUAACGCGUUAAGUCGACCGCCUGGGGAGUACGGCCGCAAGGUUAAAACUCAAAUGAAUUGACGGGGGCCCGCACAAGCGGUGGAGCAUGUGGUUUAAUUCGAUGCAACGCGAAGAACCUUACCUGGUCUUGACAUCCACGGAAGUUUUCAGAGAUGAGAAUGUGCCUUCGGGAACCGUGAGACAGGUGCUGCAUGGCUGUCGUCAGCUCGUGUUGUGAAAUGUUGGGUUAAGUCCCGCAACGAGCGCAACCCUUAUCCUUUGUUGCCAGCGGUCCGGCCGGGAACUCAAAGGAGACUGCCAGUGAUAAACUGGAGGAAGGUGGGGAUGACGUCAAGUCAUCAUGGCCCUUACGACCAGGGCUACACACGUGCUACAAUGGCGCAUACAAAGAGAAGCGACCUCGCGAGAGCAAGCGGACCUCAUAAAGUGCGUCGUAGUCCGGAUUGGAGUCUGCAACUCGACUCCAUGAAGUCGGAAUCGCUAGUAAUCGUGGAUCAGAAUGCCACGGUGAAUACGUUCCCGGGCCUUGUACACACCGCCCGUCACACCAUGGGAGUGGGUUGCAAAAGAAGUAGGUAGCUUAACCUUCGGGAGGGCGCUUACCACUUUGUGAUUCAUGACUGGGGUGAAGUCGUAACAAGGUAGCC
This 1496-nucleotide ribosomal RNA is filed under the name uncultured bacterium. Its description in RNAcentral is "16S ribosomal RNA". It matches the Rfam family "Bacterial small subunit ribosomal RNA". The record is from RNAcentral.